Molecule: long non-coding RNA, 305 nt
Filed under: Elaeis guineensis (African oil palm)
Lineage: Eukaryota; Viridiplantae; Streptophyta; Magnoliopsida; Arecales; Arecaceae
Description: long non-coding RNA (EGUI_LNC065885)
Source: RNAcentral
UUGAGGGUUACAGGAAAAGCAAUGCACAAUAAGGCAUCAAAAGCUCUUUGUAAAGCCAUGAGGGCCCUAUAACCCUUGAUAUAAUCCAUGGGAUCAGUAGAACCAUCAAAAGACUUGAUGGCAGGCAUCUUGAACUGGUUCGAAACUGAUUCACUCAAGAUUUCAUGAGAAAAAGGAGACUGAAGAUUCAAAGUAUAUUUAUUUUGGGACCGACCCUCUACCUGGAGCUCCAUCAAACGCUUUUCAAGAUCCAGGACCAUGUGCUUCAGAUCAUCCCCUCUUUGAAUUUUUAGAGAAUUGGGGAC